This is an RNA transcript of Mus musculus (house mouse), 2542 nucleotides long. It is a transcript of the gene named 5'-nucleotidase, cytosolic IA, with no coding region annotated. The transcript has 7 exons. The record is from RefSeq and is marked validated. Lineage: Eukaryota; Metazoa; Chordata; Mammalia; Rodentia; Muridae.
CAACCCCGAAGCCGCAGUACUCCACAAGCCUGGCUCCACUCGGCCUGCUCCAGAAAGCAGACUGCACCUGCUCCCCAUUUGCUUCAGACCCGGGUCGGUCGAGGAAUCAGAGUUCCCCUAAAUGCCAAGAGGGCGGCUCGGACCUGACGGUCCCCCCCACCCCCCACCCCCGGCGGGCGGGGCAGGCUCACUCGCACUCCCUCCCGGCCCUGCCCGCCUGCCUCUCCCACCCGGGACGCGCCUCCCUCCCUCAGCCCGGUGCCGAGAGCUCCGCGUCUCCACUGCUGUCUUCUCCCGCCGGGCCGGAUAGAAUCCGAGUCGGAGCAUGGAACCAGGGCAGCCCCGGGAGGCCCGCGAACCCGGGCCAGGGGCAGAGACCGCCGCGGUACCGCGCUGGGAGGAAGCCAAGACUUUCUAUGACAACCUCUCGUCCAAGAAGAAACCCAAAUCGCCAAAGCCUCAGAAUGCGGUCACCAUCGCGGUGUCCUCCAGAGCCUUGUUCCGAAUGGAUGAGGAACAGAGGAUCUACACGGAGCAGGGUGUCGAGGAGUACGUGCGAUACCAGCUGGAGCACGAGAAUGAGCCCUUCAGCCCCGGGCCUGCCUUCCCCUUUGUGAAGGCCCUGGAGGCUGUGAACAAGCGACUUCGGGAGUUGUACCCUGAUAGCGAAGAUAUCUUUGACAUUGUCCUCAUGACCAACAACCAUGCUCAGGUGGGAGUUCGUCUCAUCAACAGUAUCAACCAUUAUGACCUGUUCAUUGAGCGAUUCUGCAUGACAGGUGGGAAUAGCCCCAUCUGCUACCUCAAGGCCUACCACACCAACCUCUACUUGUCAGCCGAUGCAGACAAAGUGCGAGAAGCCAUCGAUGAGGGGAUUGCAGCUGCCACCAUCUUCAGCCCCAGCAGGGAUGUGGUUGUGUCCCAGAGUCAGCUUCGAGUGGCCUUCGAUGGGGACGCAGUACUCUUCUCCGAUGAGUCAGAGCGCAUCGUCAAGGCCCAUGGGCUGGACAGAUUCUUUGAGCAUGAGAAGGCCCACGAGAACAAACCUUUGGCGCAGGGCCCCCUAAAGGGCUUCCUGGAAGCACUGGGUAGACUGCAAAAGAAAUUCUACUCCAAGGGCCUGCGUCUGGAGUGCCCGAUUCGCACGUAUUUGGUGACCGCGCGAAGUGCAGCCAGUUCCGGAGCCCGGGCCCUCAAGACCCUGCGCAGCUGGGGCCUGGAGACGGAUGAGGCCUUAUUCCUAGCUGGAGCACCCAAGGGUCCCCUUCUUGAGAAGAUCCGUCCACACAUCUUCUUUGAUGACCAGAUGUUCCACGUGGCUGGAGCUCAGGAGAUGGGCACGGUGGCCGCCCAUGUGCCUUAUGGUGUGGCUCAGAAUCCCCGGCGGGCUGCCGCUGCGAAGCAGUCAUUAGGUGCACAGUAGCUGAGCCACCUUGCUCCAGGCCCCCUGUCACACUUUCUGAACUUCAUCUGGUGAACUUUUCUGGCUCCUCACCGUCCACCCUCCUGCAUGCUGCCGUCAACCCUCCAUGCCAGGUUCUUAGUACAUAUCCCUAACUAACCUGGAACUCCCCUACACAGACCAGGCUGGUCUUGAACUCCGACUGCCUUGGCCUCCUGAGGGCUGAGAUUAAAGGUAUGGCUUCAAAAACAAAUCUUAAAACCCUCAGAAAAUUUGAGCUGCCAUUUACUUAGUUUGCACAAUGUGUCUCCAGACCUCAGGAGUGGUGACUUCCUCUUCAUCUGAGUGACUCUGGGCAGAAGUGUGUGGAGUGGUCUCCUAUGGUACUUUCAAGAGAAGCAGGGCUCUCUGUAUAGAGACAAAAAUAGUGAUUUUUCUUUAACCCACUAUUUUUUUCCUGAGUUGGAGAUAGAAGUGGGGUUUUCUAUUUACAUCUUGCAGAGAAAAGAAAGAUGUUUGUCUGACACAGAAAGGAAAUUGGAGCACUAAACUGUUGCUCCAGGUUGGAACCAUUCCCUCUGGGAUGUCGUGUUUUGCCUGAUUCCAUGCAUGUGUUGGUCUGCUCUAGCUGCUAUAACAAACGACCAUAAACUGAGCAGCAUAGAAACUUAUUUCUCAGGCCAGGCAUGGUGGUGCAUGCCUUUAAUCCCAGCACUCAGGAGUCAGAUACAAGAGGAACUCUUGUGAGUUCAAGGCCGCCCCAUCUACAUAACAAGUUCCUAGAUGGCCAGGACUCUAAUAGAGAGAUGUGGUCUCAAAGAACAAACAAAUGAAUGAGCAAAGAACCAAAAAGAAAAAGCUCAAACUCCUUGGGGCAGAAAUCCAGAAUCAAGGAUUGGGCCCUUUGGUGUCUGCUGAGUAUCCUUUCUGUCUCAUCAGAGGCCACCUCACUGUGGGGUAGAGGGACAAAGAGGCUGUCUCGCUCUCUUCUCCAAAGACACUGGCCACAUUCAUGAGGGCAGACCCUCAUGAGCUAUUUCCUCUCACAGGCCGCACAGUCUAAUAUUAUCCACAGCUGAUUGUCAUCAUAGGAAUCAGGGGUGGGGGUGGACACAGAAGUCAGAGUCUCCCUUCUUUCUC